GUAUUCACUUUGACUACAUAUAUGCUUAGAAUGAUACACAGAAGAUUAGCAUAGCCCCUGUGCAAGGAUGGCAUGGAAAUUUUUGAUACAUUUCAUACUUAU
Small nuclear RNA from Piliocolobus tephrosceles (Ugandan red Colobus), 102 nucleotides. Lineage: Eukaryota; Metazoa; Chordata; Mammalia; Primates; Cercopithecidae. The record is from Ensembl.